UGGGGAAUUUUGGACAAUGGGGGAAACCCUGAUCCAGCCAUCCCGCGUGUGCGAUGAAGGCCUUCGGGUUGUAAAGCACUUUUGGCAGGAAAGAAACGUCAUGGGUUAAUACCCCGUGAAACUGACGGUACCUGCAGAAUAAGCACCGGCUAACUACGUGCCAGCAGCCGCGGUAAUACGUAGGGUGCAAGCGUUAAUCGGAGUUACUGGGCGUAAAGCGUGCGCAGGCGGUUCGGAAAGAAAGAUGUGAAAUCCCAGAGCUCAACUUUGGAACUGCAUUUUUAACUACCGGGCUAGAGUGUGUCAGAGGGAGGUGGAAUUCCGCGUGUAGCAGUGAAAUGCGUAGAUAUGCGGAGGAACACCGAUGGCGAAGGCAGCCUCCUGGGAUAACACUGACGCUCAUGCACGAAAGCGUGGGGAGCAAACAGG
This 429-nucleotide ribosomal RNA is filed under the name Acidobacteriota bacterium. Its description in RNAcentral is "Acidobacteria bacterium partial 16S ribosomal RNA". It matches the Rfam family "Bacterial small subunit ribosomal RNA", at positions 355 to 776 of the family's 1533-position model. The record is from RNAcentral. Lineage: Bacteria; Pseudomonadati; Acidobacteriota.